RNAcentral lists this ribosomal RNA (483 nucleotides) under uncultured bacterium. Its description in RNAcentral is "partial 16S ribosomal RNA". It matches the Rfam family "Bacterial small subunit ribosomal RNA", at positions 28 to 507 of the family's 1533-position model. The record is from RNAcentral.
GAUGAACGCUGGCGGCGUGCCUAACACAUGCAAGUCGAACGGAGUCGCUUUGGAAAUUUCUUCGGAGAUGGAAUUCUCGACUUAGUGGCGGACGGGUGAGCAACGCGUGAGCAUUCUGCCUUUAAGAGGGGGAUAACAGUCGGCAACUGCUGCUAAUACCGCAUAAAGGAAUACAUUCGCAUGUUUUUGAUGCCAAAGGAGCAGUCCGCUUUUAGAUGUGAUCGCGUCUGCUUAGCUAGUGGGCGGGGUAACGGCCCACCAAGGCGACGAUCAGUAGCAGGACUGAGAGGAGGAACGGCCACAUUGGGACUGAGACACGGCCGAGACGACUACGGGAGGAAGCAGUGGAGAAUGUUGCGCAAUGGGGGAAUCGCUGACGCAGCAACGCCGCGUGAUUGAAGAAGUCCUUCGGGAAGUAAAGAUGUUUAAUCAGAGACGAAUCAAAUGACGGUACCUAAAGAAUAAGCACCGGCUAACUACGUG